GAUGAAGAACGUAGCGAAAUGCGAUAAGUAAUGUGAAUUGCAGAAUUCAGUGAAUCAUCGAAUCUUUGAACGCACAUUGCGCCCCUUGGUAUUCCGGGGGGCAUGCCUGUUCGAGCGUCAUUAUCACCCCUCAAGCUCAGCUUGGUGUUGGGGCCUGCCGUCAAGGCAGCCCUUAAAAUCAGUGGCGGCGCCAUCUGGCUCUAAGCGUAGUAAUACUUCUCGCUACAGGGUCUCGGUGGUGUCUUGCCAGAACCCCUCAUUUUUUAUGAUUGACCUCGGAUCAGGUAGGGAUACCCGCUGAACUUAAGCAUAUCAAUAAGCGGAGGA
Molecule: unclassified non-coding RNA, 327 nt
Filed under: soil metagenome
Description: partial contains 5.8S ribosomal RNA, internal transcribed spacer 2, and large subunit ribosomal RNA
Rfam family: 5.8S ribosomal RNA (bases 1-120)
Source: RNAcentral